This 1554-nucleotide ribosomal RNA is filed under the name Staphylococcus aureus. Its description in RNAcentral is "16S ribosomal RNA". It matches the Rfam family "Bacterial small subunit ribosomal RNA". Lineage: Bacteria; Bacillati; Bacillota; Bacilli; Caryophanales; Staphylococcaceae. The record is from RNAcentral.
UUUAUGGAGAGUUUGAUCCUGGCUCAGGAUGAACGCUGGCGGCGUGCCUAAUACAUGCAAGUCGAGCGAACGGACGAGAAGCUUGCUUCUCUGAUGUUAGCGGCGGACGGGUGAGUAACACGUGGAUAACCUACCUAUAAGACUGGGAUAACUUCGGGAAACCGGAGCUAAUACCGGAUAAUAUUUUGAACCGCAUGGUUCAAAAGUGAAAGACGGUCUUGCUGUCACUUAUAGAUGGAUCCGCGCUGCAUUAGCUAGUUGGUAAGGUAACGGCUUACCAAGGCAACGAUGCAUAGCCGACCUGAGAGGGUGAUCGGCCACACUGGAACUGAGACACGGUCCAGACUCCUACGGGAGGCAGCAGUAGGGAAUCUUCCGCAAUGGGCGAAAGCCUGACGGAGCAACGCCGCGUGAGUGAUGAAGGUCUUCGGAUCGUAAAACUCUGUUAUUAGGGAAGAACAUAUGUGUAAGUAACUGUGCACAUCUUGACGGUACCUAAUCAGAAAGCCACGGCUAACUACGUGCCAGCAGCCGCGGUAAUACGUAGGUGGCAAGCGUUAUCCGGAAUUAUUGGGCGUAAAGCGCGCGUAGGCGGUUUUUUAAGUCUGAUGUGAAAGCCCACGGCUCAACCGUGGAGGGUCAUUGGAAACUGGAAAACUUGAGUGCAGAAGAGGAAAGUGGAAUUCCAUGUGUAGCGGUGAAAUGCGCAGAGAUAUGGAGGAACACCAGUGGCGAAGGCGACUUUCUGGUCUGUAACUGACGCUGAUGUGCGAAAGCGUGGGGAUCAAACAGGAUUAGAUACCCUGGUAGUCCACGCCGUAAACGAUGAGUGCUAAGUGUUAGGGGGUUUCCGCCCCUUAGUGCUGCAGCUAACGCAUUAAGCACUCCGCCUGGGGAGUACGACCGCAAGGUUGAAACUCAAAGGAAUUGACGGGGACCCGCACAAGCGGUGGAGCAUGUGGUUUAAUUCGAAGCAACGCGAAGAACCUUACCAAAUCUUGACAUCCUUUGACAACUCUAGAGAUAGAGCCUUCCCCUUCGGGGGACAAAGUGACAGGUGGUGCAUGGUUGUCGUCAGCUCGUGUCGUGAGAUGUUGGGUUAAGUCCCGCAACGAGCGCAACCCUUAAGCUUAGUUGCCAUCAUUAAGUUGGGCACUCUAAGUUGACUGUCGGUGACAAACCGGAGGAAGGUGGGGAUGACGUCAAAUCAUCAUGCCCCUUAUGAUUUGGGCUACACACGUGCUACAAUGGACAAUACAAAGGGCAGCGAAACCGCGAGGUCAAGCAAAUCCCAUAAAGUUGUUCUCAGUUCGGAUUGUAGUCUGCAACUCGACUACAUGAAGCUGGAAUCGCUAGUAAUCGUAGAUCAGCAUGCUACGGUGAAUACGUUCCCGGGUCUUGUACACACCGCCCGUCACACCACGAGAGUUUGUAACACCCGAAGCCGGUGGAGUAACCUUUUAGGAGCUAGCCGUCGAAGGUGGGACAAAUGAUUGGGGUGAAGUCGUAACAAGGUAGCCGUAUCGGAAGGUGCGGCUGGAUCACCUCCUUUCU